Molecule: small nuclear RNA, 127 nt
Organism: Echinops telfairi (small Madagascar hedgehog)
Lineage: Eukaryota; Metazoa; Chordata; Mammalia; Afrosoricida; Tenrecidae
Product: U4atac minor spliceosomal RNA
Exons: 1
Source: RefSeq, a predicted model, not a curated record
ACCAUCCUUUUCUUGGGGUUGUGCUACUAGCCAACGAACAUAUAGUGAGGGUAGUACUGCUAACAACUCCGCAAAAAAAAAAAAAAAGAUAAUAAGGUAGUCGAUCUUCUACUACAGUUGUGAAUGA